UACGGAGGGGGCUAGCGUUGUUCGGAAUUACUGGGCGUAAAGCGCACGUAGGCGGACUGUUAAGUCGGGGGUGAAAUCCUGGGGCUCAACCUCAGAAUUGCCUCCGAUACUGGCAGUCUCGAGUGCGGGAGAGGUGAGUGGAAUUCCCAGUGUAGAGGUGAAAUUCGUAGAUAUUGGGAAGAACACCAGUGGCGAAGGCGGCUCACUGGCCCGUAACUGACGCUGAGGUGCGAAAGCGCGGGGAGCAAACAGG
RNAcentral lists this ribosomal RNA (253 nucleotides) under uncultured bacterium. Its description in RNAcentral is "partial 16S ribosomal RNA". It matches the Rfam family "Bacterial small subunit ribosomal RNA", at positions 524 to 776 of the family's 1533-position model. The record is from RNAcentral.